GCUCGCGUGGGCAGGCCCCUCCCAGGACAUGCAGCUCACCUGGGUGGUCACCCAGCAGCCCCUGGGGCUCGCGUGGGCAGGCCCCUCCCAGGACAUGCAGCUCACCUGGGUGGUCACCCAGCAGCCCCUGGGGCUCGCGUGGGCAGGCCCCUCCCAGGACAUGCAGCUCACCUGGGUGGUCACCCAGCAGCCCCUGGGGCUCGCGUGGGCAGGCCCCUCCCAGGACAUGCAGCUCACCUGGGUGGUCACCCAGCAGCCCCUGGGGCUCGCGUGGGCAGGCCCCUCCCAGGACAUGCAGCUCACCUGGGUGGUCACCCAGCAGCCCCUGGGGCUCGCGUGGGCAGGCCCCUCCCAGGACAUGCAGCUCACCUGGGUGGUCACCCAGCAGCCCCUGGGGCUCGCGUGGGCAGGCCCCUCCCAGGACAUGCAGCUCACCUGGGUGGUCACCCAGCAGCCCCUGGGGCUCGCGUGGGCAGGCCCUUCCCAGGACAUGCAGCUCACCUGGGUGGUCACCCAGCAGCCCCUGGGGCUCACGUGGGCAGGCCCCUCCCAGGCACCACGUCCUUCUGGGCAGGCCCCCUGACAGGCUCAGCACACAGGAACUGUGCCCAGGGUCCUCACUGCAGACCACCCCGAGCUCCCCGUGUUGGUCAGAGCUGUUCCUGAGCACCUCGGAGCAGGAUCUGGACUAACAAACAGCAGCUCCUGGACAGGAAUUGCCAGGCCACGACCUGCUAAGGAAGAGCACCCUAAUCUGCCCUGGGAAGUCCUCCCCAGGCAGAGGUGAGGAAGCAAGAAAAAAGGCAGAGAGGGCUCAGACAGAAGGAGUUACUCAGGACUCUGACAUUGGGUUUAGGGCCACUCUAGCCCACAAUGACCUCGUCUCAGGAUCCUCAUCCACACCCGCAAAGGCCCUUUCCCAGGUGAAGCUCAUGUCCCCAGUGGUGGUGAAGCCAGAUCUGCGGUUCAGACGGGUGUGGCUGCGUGUACGGGACAAAACGAACGCGUGUGCCUUAGAUCAAGCGCACGGGGCUGCCUGAACUCUCCUCUCGCGCGCCCUCCCCGGGGACCCUCCUCAGCACGGGGCUGCCUGAACUCUCCUCUCGCGCGCCCUCCCCGGGGACCCUCCUCAGCUGCGGAGGCUCACGCACAGGGGAUGGAGCGUGCCCAGCCUGAGGGCUGAUUUACCCUGCGUCCGAGUCUGCUCAGUGCUGCCACAUCAAAUGCCUGAGUCCAGGCGCUUACACAACAGACCUGUCUCCUCGCUUGGAUGCUGUCUGAGAUCAAGGUGUCUGCAGGCUGGUUCCUCCCGGGGCUUCUCUCUGCGUGUGGACCUCCGUCUUCUCCCCAUGUGCUCACGUGGUCGCCCCUGUGCCUGUGUCCUGGUCUCUUCUUGUAGGACCUCUGUCCUGAUGGACCAGGAUCCACCCUCAUAGCGUCAUUUUACCUUGACGGCUCUUGAAAACCCCAUCUCCAAAGACAGUCACAUCCUGGGUUCCUGGGGGUUAGGGAGCCAGCACGUGAGUUUUGUGGGGAAACAGCUGAACCCACACCAUCCUGCUUAGGAACUGGCUGGGCUUCGUCCCACCUUCCCUCAAGUUCCAUGGCAGUGGGGGUGGGUGUGAGACAGCCCAGGGAGAGGUCACUCGUCCAGGUCUAGUUGGGGACAGUGCAGGGCCUUAGUUAGGGAGAGGGCAGGGACUGAGUUAGGCAUAGUUCAGGGCAUUUGUUAGGGAUAGAGCUGGGCCUUGGAUAGGGACAGCUUAGUCUAGUUAGGGAGCUCUCAAAGCCUUACUUAGGGAGAGCUUAAGGGCAUUAGUUAGGGAGAGUAUUGGGCCUUAUUAGUGACAGCGCUGAGCCUUAGUUAGGGACAGCGUAAGUGUAGUUGGGAGCAGCACAAGGCUUUACUUAGGAACAGGGCAGGCCCUCCUUUGGGAGAGUGCAGCACCACAGUUGGCCAAAGCACAGGGCCUGAGUAAGGGACCUUGCCCAGCCUUAGUUCGGGACAGCUCAGGGCUUUAGGGACACUGCAGUGCUGUAGGUAGGGACAGCGCAGGGCCUUAGUUAGGGACACUGAAGUCCAGUUAGGGACACACGGAGGCUGAGGUCAUGAAUGAAGGGUGGGAGUGCAGCGGUAUUUUGGUGGGCAGGCUGUGCUCAUCUCUGUGCCUUUUCUCUUGAGAUUUCUCUCCAACGUACUCCUUGCCUUUGCACCUGAGCCUCUUCCUGUCCCCGACUGGCGUCAUGGGGAUCUGACCUAAAGGCGUGUCUCGUGACUUAAGGCAGGGUGACCUAAAGCUGGCUCUCCUGACUCAGUGGGGCAGCAGGGCAGCUGAGUGUUUUAAGGUCGUGGGAUGUGGCAGGUUGGGGUGGAUAUCCUGGGAGGCUUUGAGAAAUACCCCAUCUGUAGGGCUCUUCACUGUGCUUAGAGGGAGAGGAGGACCAAAAUCGAGCUGGCAGGUGCCCAGGAUUAGUGCCCCCAGGGCUGCUGAGAGAGACAGAGGGACUGAGAGUUGCUGUUAGAGCACAUGGCCGCCAGAGCCCCCGCAGCUCCCCCCGCAGGUCCCUGGCCGCAUGUCCACGCUCAGAGGUAGGAGGAGAUGGGUCGGUGGAGCCCCAAGGGAGGUGCCCAGAGCUUGGGGCUUGGGUACAGGACACCUCUGACCACCUGCCCCCAUUUUCCUCACCUCGGAGAGGAGACAUACUUCUGCCUUCCUAUCUGUGAUCAGUUCUUGUCUGGUGGGGUGGCCCAACGGCUAGAGAGCAUGACAAGCUGUCUGUCGUCUUCGUGCCCUUUGAUGGUUUGGAGGCACAGCUCCGGCCCCGGAAAUACCUGGCGCACAUCUUGCAUGUGCAGUUUUCUAGAAUCAGCUUGCAAGGGCUUUGGGCUGGUGGUCGUGAAUGGAGGGUGUCAAAGGGGUGCUAUGUUGGGGGAUGGGCUACGCUCCCCCCUGUGAGCUUUGUUUUGAAAUUGAUCCCCAGCUUCCUUUCUCCCUUCCCUCUUCCCACCUCCUGUUAGGGAAAAAUACCUAAAACCCGGUGACGUGAACAAAGGGUGUGAGGUUACUGAUUUAAAGCUGGGCCCCAGGGCUGAAGGGUCCAGAUGGAUUUAACGGCCGCUCCUGUGAACUAAAAAGCAGGGCGGCUGAGGGAUGGCAGGCUGGGGGGUGGUGUCAGGUGGGGUGAGGGCCCUGGCGGACCGAGAAAGCCGGGCCCCCUCUGCAGGGCCUUUCAUGGUGCUCAUGUUAGGGCACUGUUGACUGAACCGCUGAAACCGCCCCCCUGGGCCAGGCAGGACCCCAGCCCUUGCAGGAGUUGUGUCACAGCAGGUGGCCCUGAGGAGAAACACGGUGCUGCCCUGGAGACAAACUGGGAGGGUUGGGAGGGCGCGGGAGGGGGGCAGACAACCAGCCUCCAGGAUCCGUAGACUCCGUCUCGGCUGAGAAGCACGUGUGCCACCAGGAAGGCCCCCAGUCCAGUAACACCUGAGGCUUCGAGCCACAUGGCCGAACCGUUCUCCUGGGCUCCCUCCCCUGCUGCCCUCCGCCUGGGCGUCCUUCCCAAGGAAGCCUCUCCCUCUGCCAGCCGUGUGUCUCCUCAGACAAUUCAUUUCCCAGUGUCAGACAGGAGCCCACACUGGGCCCUGGAGGGGUCCCCUUCUGCCGCAGCUGGUGACUCUGGCAAGGCACCUUCCUCACCGGGACUGAUAUUCCGAACAUCAGGCCCCAGCUCUGCUCCCUCAUCCCCCGCUUCUCUCAGUCUGGCCACUCUCCCUCCCUCUGAAGACUCCGCAUACUUCCAUUUACUGGGGCGUCCUGGGAACAAGCCUUCCUGUGUCCCCUGCUUCGGGUUUUUAGGGAACCAGCUUCAGCCUCCGUGACCUCCCCUGAGCUCCCAAAGGGCAGGUUCAAACUGCUGCUCAUCAGGGAAGGGAGGGGAGGCAGAGACAGGAGACCAGUCAAGAGGCAGCAGGGCAGCCCCGGGACCGAGUCCUGGAUCCCCUUCAAGGAACACGCAUAACAGCCUGAGUCCCUCUGCAGAACGAAGCCCCCAACACGUGACAACCAGAGUGGAGGACCACCGGAACCAGUCCUGGGGCCACGAAACACUGACUCUGAGGGAGAGUGAAAGCUUGCAUCCACCCCCGCCCUUGUCUGGCCCCUAUUUUCUCUCCCCAAACUCUAAAAGCACCUCCUGUUCUCUCCCGAAGGCAGGCACAGUCCUUAGGGCAUGAGCCGGCUGUGGUCUCCUCUGCCUGGCAAAGCAAUAAGGCUGUUUUUUUCUCCUUCACCCCGAACUCUGUCUCCAUGUUUCUGUUCGACACCAGUGGACAGACGCCAGGUUUCAGCCACUGUACUGGGAUCUGCAGUUCUGGUCUCUGAGGGUUUUCUGAGAGACGGCAAUCUUGUAUUUCGGGGGUCUCUGACUAGGACGCCCCCCCCCCCGCGUUUUGUGCAUGAGAUGUUGUGGCUUGUGAUGGCCAUUCUGCCUUGUGACAUGGGACGUUCUGGUUCUGUUCCACUGCGGUGCCCUCUGGGGUGAAUUCUGUCUGAUUGGGAAGAUUUUCAUUAUGAGCCUAAGACUAAGAAAAAGACGCUUUAACGCUGUGUGGCUGCAAUAUUCUUUAGAUUCCAGAGAAAAAUUGGUCCAGGUGAAACUCUUGAAAAUUCCAGAACUGGUUCUUUUGGCAUAGAGUUAGAAAAAGCGAGUUCGAUAAAGCAUCUUUUCAGAAUUCUGACCCUGCAAGAACAAAUCCUUCUGGGAGAACUUGUUUCUGUCCACACGCCUUGAGACCUGGGCUCUCAGGAUCACGUGUCUAGGCCAUCGCUAAUGGACCUGCAUGGGUUGUGCAGUGGUUUUAGCAUCUGGUUGGCCUCAUACUGGCUUCUGGAGAGCAGGGCAUAUGGCCGUGAAUGCAGUGCAUUGAUGCAGUGGUGUUGGGGGUGGGGGACUAAGCUGACCCCUGGGCUUUUCCCCUCCAGAGAUCUACAGUUGCUCUUCCAUCCCAGCCAAGACUCUUCCUCCGCUUUCAGACACCUGCUGCAAGGAAGCUUCCUAAAACCAGGGAACGUGAAUAAAGGCUGGGUGGUCCUUGAUUACAAGCUGGGUCCCACGGCUGAAUGAUGCUGAUUGAGUCAGAGCCUGCUCACGUGACUUACGAAGUCGGGUCCUUGAUUUGAGGGGGAGGUGUGGGGGGAGGGUCCUGGCCGACUGUGAGAGUCAUGCCCCCCCCCCCGCAGUGUAUCUCAGUGCGCCCGAGAGGGGGAGGAGCAAGGACAUCAGGCUGGCAAGUGGCCCAAGCCAGCACAGAUCAGGCUUCUGCUGUGGGAGGCAGAGGCAGGGCUGAGUUGCUGUUGGAGCACAUGUCCGCCAGAGGGCGCCAGCGCACAGCGGAGGCCCCUGCAGCCCCCUGUUUGCAUGUCCAGGCUUCCAAGUGGAUUGGAGAUGGACCCAUGGAACCUCGAGGUGGUGCCUGGAGCCUGGUUUGUGUUCAUAAUGCCUUGGACCCUGCGGCCCAAUUUGCCGCAACUCAGUGAGGGGACAGAAUUCUUCCAUCACGUGUCUAAUUCAAUUCCUGUCUGGUCAGGUGGCCCCAAAAUGACGGAGAUUGACAGGCUGUGGUCGGAGUGUCCUUCGCUAGUUUACAGGCAGACCUCCAGUCCCCAGAAACACCUGGCUUGAGUGUGGGAUGUGCAGUUUUCUAGAAUCAGCCUGGCAGGGAGUUUGGCUUCCGGAAAGCUGGGCUUCAUGUCAUGAAUGCAGUGUGCCUGUGCUGUCGUCUCUUGGGGGGGGGAUGGACUGUGCUCAUGGCU
Molecule: non-coding RNA, 5813 nt
Organism: Sus scrofa (pig)
Lineage: Eukaryota; Metazoa; Chordata; Mammalia; Artiodactyla; Suidae
Source: RefSeq, a predicted model, not a curated record